This 497-nucleotide ribosomal RNA is filed under the name uncultured bacterium. RNAcentral describes it as "partial 16S ribosomal RNA". It matches the Rfam family "Bacterial small subunit ribosomal RNA", at positions 28 to 507 of the family's 1533-position model. The record is from RNAcentral.
GAUGAACGCUGGCGGCGUGCCUAAUACAUGCAAGUCGAGCGAACAGACGAGGAGCUUGCUCCUCUGACGUUAGCGGCGGACGGGUGAGUAACACGUGGAUAACCUACCUAUAAGACUGGGAUAACUUCGGGAAACCGGAGCUAAUACCGGAUAAUAUAUUGAACCGCAUGGUUCAAUAGUGAAAGACGGUUUUGCUGUCACUUAUAGAUGGAUCCGCGCCGCAUUAGCUAGUUGGUAAGGUAACGGCUUACCAAGGCAACGAUGCGUAGCCGACCUGAGAGGGUGAUCGGCUACACUGGAACUGAGACACGGUCCAGACUCCUACGGGAGGCAGCAGUAGGGAAUCUUCCGCAAUGGGCGAAAGCCUGACGGAGCAACGCCGCGUGAGUGAUGAAGGUCUUCGGAUCGUAAAACUCUGUUAUUAGGGAAGAACAAAUGUGUAAGUAACUAUGCACGUCUUGACGGUACCUAAUCAGAAAGCCACGGCUAACUACGUG